Molecule: ribosomal RNA, 206 nt
Filed under: uncultured bacterium
Lineage: Bacteria
Description: partial 16S ribosomal RNA
Rfam family: Bacterial small subunit ribosomal RNA
Source: RNAcentral
UGUGUAGGCGGUUCUUUAAGUUUGGUGUGAAAUCUCCCGGCUCAACUGGGAGGGUGCGCCGAAUACUGAGGGACUAGAGUACGGGAGAGGAAAGUGGAAUUCCUGGUGUAGCGGUGAAAUGCGUAGAUAUCAGGAGGAACACCGGUGGUGUAGACGGCUUUCUGACCGUAACUGACGCUGAGACACGAAAGCGUGGGUAGCAAACA